GAGAAAGAAUGAAACUGCUUGUGCAAAAAGAAAUUUCUGCAUAAGGCUCUGAACCUAGGAGAGGUCGUGUGACUCAUACUCAGGCCGGUGUCUCAUUUCUCUUUCCAAAUCAUGGAAACAACCUAAGCCCUAACACAGAAACACUACCCAAUAAAUGAAGGCUUUAAAUGGGUCUGAAGAUGGGUGACUGGCCUGGGUGGCUCAGUCGGUUAAGUGUCCAACUUCGGCUCAGGUCAUGAUCUCAUGAUCUGUGAGUUUGAGCCAUGCGUCGGGCUCUGUGCUGACAGCUCAGAGUCUGUGUCUCCCUCUCUCUCUGCCCCAAGCCCGCUCAUGCUCUGUCUCUGUCUCAAAAAUAGAUAAAAACAAUAAAAAAAAAUUAAAAGUAAAUAAAUAAAUGGGUCUGAAGAGAGACUCAGGAGACUUUUCAAGAUUACACGAAACUCAAGAUGAAUAUUUUGCCACGCCCACUACAUUCGGUGUGUAAUUUUCUUCCCAGUUCCCCACCUGCUUCCCUCCGACCCUACCUGAAACAAACCUUCCUGUUAGAAAUAAAAAGCAAACGCUCCAGUAUACGCAACAUGACGAGAAUACUGGCUUAUUUCAGAGCAAACUCUUAAGUGAUAUCCAGUAGUCUCAGGUACGACCCACAUUAUACUCCUAGAAGGAGGCGACACUAGAUUUAGUACGUGGGGGUUCAGCUCAUGGUUCUCCAGCAAAGCCCUCAGAGUUACCACUGAAGGAGUAACUACUUCAAGUACAUCAGAUAUGCACACAAGGGCAAGAGUGGACACCCUUAACUUCAGGGGAUUCAAGGCGGCCUGUCCCAAGUCGGGAUACUGGGCACGUGGGAAGAAAACCAGGUGUCAAGCCAACCGGGCUGAGCUCCCCAUGGUCCCCGCAGACGGCCUCGGACAUCACCCGGGUGCUCGCCCACGGCCACGUUAGUGAAUGCUGCCAGGACUGUGGUUUCUAUGAAACAUAAUCAAUAGAGCAGAGGGGGGGGGGGGGAAACCGCACCCGGUUCAGAGCACUUUCUGUUCCUUCCCACACUAUGCAUGAAGGCAGCACGGGCAGGAUCAUGUAAGAGAGAAGAGACCUGAUGGGAUGACACAGGCAGAGCUGCGGACAUUUUGGAGGAGGGAAUUCCAUUUCAGGAACCUCUAGAAUAUUGAUGCCAGGAGAUGGAAACACGUGCAGGGGGUCCCCAACACCCAGACACGAUUCUGGACUCCGAAGUCUCCAGGAAAUGACAAACAUGGUAUUUCUCCAUCUUGAUCUCUUUAUUUGCAGAGAUUGAAAAGAAAAAAAAAAAGACAACUAGGGGCACCUGGGUGGCUCAGUCGAGCGUCCGACUUUGGCUCAGGUCAUGAUCCUGUGGUUCGCGAGUUCGAUCGAGACCCACGUCCGGCUCUGUGCUGACAGCUCAGAGCCUGGAGCUUGCCUCCCUCUCUCUCUGCCCCCCCCCCUCUCGUGCUCUCUCUCUCUCUCAAAAAUAAAUAAAAACAUUAUUAUUUUAAAAAAAAAAGACAACAAGAAAGAGGCCAACUUUAAAACAGACCGUUUUUUUUUUUAACAAAACAAAACACACGAACUAAAAAGAUGGGACACGCUAGCCUCCAAAAGCACAAAGCUUCCUCGCCCCNCCCCCCGCCAUCACCGGAAGUAGUUCAGCGAUAAUGUGGGACCUAACGCACAGACGCACUCACCUAGCGUGUCCUUCAGGUUCUUCACGAGGGAACCCUUCUUCAGGCUGUUCUUCCUCUCCACGUAGUUGGACGGCACGUAGCCCGUCCUGUUGGCCGCGUUCCUCACGCGCCACCACGUCUUGGAGUCGUCCAGCAGCCACAGACGCUCGUUUUUCUUGAUGUCCAGCUCCUGGUCCUGUUGGGCAGUGUAGUCCCACUUUGCUAUCACAAUAACUUCCUCUGUCAUCUUUCAUGGAGUCCUUCUGCCAGCAAAACAUUUGGAGAUGCUCAUUAGAGAACCAACCAAACACUUCGUCCUGCGCAUCAACUUGAGAAAUUAUGCACUGACAGCUUUUAUUACUACUUGGCAACCAGUUUUCUCCUGGGUCUUGGAAUAACCUUAAAAUGACCUUCUUUCAACAAGCUUUGGUAUUUUGUUUAGAAACAGCAACCCUAAUAAAACAAACCCUGAUUUUGUACAUUGGGAAAUCUGCGUGCUCUGCCAGAAGCAAAAACAAACUUUCAAAAAAUUCUAAAUAACAAUGCCAUAAUUAAAUGCGUUCACUUGAUUAAGUAACAGCAGCUCCUUGUAGCUAAUAUGUUUACAUCCACUUUCUCAAGAUACGCUGAAUUUUAUGAACAUAUUUAAUGAACACGCACACCCAAACUGUUCUUAUAAAUUAAAGCCGAAAGCAAUGUGGCAUCCUGGACUGGCUCCUAAAACACAAAAAGGAAAUUAGUAGGAACGAUGGUGAAAUCUGAAUGAAGUCGAGUCAACAGUAACAUACCAAU
Molecule: long non-coding RNA, 2477 nt
Filed under: Lynx pardinus (Iberian lynx)
Lineage: Eukaryota; Metazoa; Chordata; Mammalia; Carnivora; Felidae
Source: RNAcentral